This 860-nucleotide ribosomal RNA is filed under the name uncultured Eubacteriales bacterium. RNAcentral describes it as "bacterial SSU rRNA". It matches the Rfam family "Bacterial small subunit ribosomal RNA", at positions 17 to 884 of the family's 1533-position model. The record is from RNAcentral. Lineage: Bacteria; Bacillati; Bacillota; Clostridia; Eubacteriales.
UCCUGGCUCAGGAUGAACGCUGGCGGCGUGCCUAACACAUGCAAGUCGAACGGAGUUAAUAAAGUAGAUUACUACAUUAUUAACUUAGUGGCGGACGGGUGAGUAACGCGUGGAUAACCUACCUUACACAGGGGGAUAACACCGAGAAAUCGGUGCUAAUACCGCAUAAGUAAUUAUGUCGCAUGGCAUAGUUAUAAAAGCUGAGGCGGUGUAAGAUGGGUCCGCGUCUGAUUAGCUAGUUGGUGAGAUAAAAGCUCACCAAGGCAACGAUCAGUAGCCGGCUUGAGAGAGUGAACGGCCACACUGGGACUGAGACACGGCCCAGACUCCUACGGGAGGCAGCAGUGGGGAAUAUUGCACAAUGGGGGAAACCCUGAUGCAGCGACGCCGCGUGAAGGAAGAAGGUCUUCGGAUCGUAAACUUCUAUCAGCAGGGAAGAAGGAAGUGACGGUACCUGACUAAGAAGCCCCGGCUAACUACGUGCCAGCAGCCGCGGUAAUACGUAGGGGGCAAGCGUUAUCCGGAAUCACUGGGUGUAAAGGGUGCGUAGGCGGUAGGGCAAGUCAGAUGUGAAAGCCCGGGGCUCAACUCCGGGAUUGCAUUUGAAACUGUCUUACUAGAGUGCAGGAGAGGGAAGCGGAAUUCCUAGUGUAGCGGUGAAAUGCGUAGAUAUUAGGAAGAACACCAGUGGCGAAGGCGGCUUUCUGGACUGUAACUGACGCUGAGGCACGAAAGCGUGGGGGAGCGAACAGGAUUAGAUACCCUGGUAGUCCACGCCGUAACGAUGAGUGCUAGGUGUUGGGCCCAUAUGGGUUCAGUGCUGAAGUUAACGCAUUAAGCACUCCACCUGGGGGAGUACG